This is a small nucleolar RNA of Chlorocebus sabaeus (green monkey), 88 nucleotides long. Lineage: Eukaryota; Metazoa; Chordata; Mammalia; Primates; Cercopithecidae. The record is from Ensembl.
UGAUGACACUCUCUGGAACUGUUACACUACCAUAAUUAAAGUGUACUGAAUCUUUUUCUCUCUGAAGGGGGAGGGGGAUAAAAUAAUU